RNAcentral lists this small nuclear RNA (104 nucleotides) under Cervus elaphus hippelaphus. The record is from RNAcentral. Lineage: Eukaryota; Metazoa; Chordata; Mammalia; Artiodactyla; Cervidae.
GUGCUCGCUUCGGCAGCACAUAUACUAAAACUGGAACGGUACAGAGAAGAUUAGCAUGGCCCCUGCGCAAGGAUGAUACGCAAAUUCGUGAAGCAUUCCAUAUU